RNAcentral lists this ribosomal RNA (506 nucleotides) under uncultured bacterium. RNAcentral describes it as "partial 16S ribosomal RNA". It matches the Rfam family "Bacterial small subunit ribosomal RNA", at positions 30 to 523 of the family's 1533-position model. The record is from RNAcentral.
AUUGAACGCUGGCGGCAGGCCUAACACAUGCAAGUCGAGCGGCAGCGGGAAGUAGCUUGCUACUUUGCCGGCGAGCGGCGGACGGGUGAGUAAUGUCUGGGGAUCUGCCUGAUGGAGGGGGAUAACUACUGGAAACGGUAGCUAAUACCGCAUAACCUCGAAAGAGCAAAGUGGGGGACCUUCGGGCCUCACGCCAUCGGAUGAACCCAGAUGGGAUUAGCUAGUAGGUGGGGUAAUGGCUCACCUAGGCGACGAUCCCUAGCUGGUCUGAGAGGAUGACCAGCCACACUGGAGCUGAGACACGGUCCAGACUCCUACGGGAGGCAGCAGUGGGGAAUAUUGCACAAUGGGCGCAAGCCUGAUGCAGCCAUGCCGCGUGUAUGAAGAAGGCCUUCGGGUUGUAAAGUACUUUCAGCGGGGAGGAAGGCGGUGAGGUUAAUAACCUCAUCGAUUGACGUUACCCGCAGAAGAAGCACCGGCUAACUCCGUGCCAGCCGCCGCCGUAA